Molecule: ribosomal RNA, 468 nt
Filed under: uncultured bacterium
Lineage: Bacteria
Description: partial 16S ribosomal RNA
Rfam family: Bacterial small subunit ribosomal RNA
Source: RNAcentral
GACGAACGCUGGCGGCGUGCUUAACACAUGCCAGUCGAACGGAAAGGCCCUGCUUUUGUGGGGUGCUCGAGUGGCGAACGGGUGAGUAACACGUGAGUAACCUGCCCUUGACUGUGGGAUAACUUCAGGAAACAGGGGCGAAUACCGGAUAGGAGAUCCUGCUGCAUGGGGUGGGUUGGAAAGAUUCGGCGGUUGGGGAUGGACGGGCGGUUUAUCGGCUUGUUGGUGGGGUAGUGGCGUACCAAGGCUUUGACGGGUAGCCGGCCUGGGAGGGUGACCGGCCCCAUUGGGCCUGAGGUACGACCCAGACUGCAACGGGAGGCAGCGGUGGGGAAUAUUGCGCAAUGGGCGGAAGCCGGAUGCAGCAACGCCGGGUGCGGGAUGACGGCCUUCGGGUUGUAAACCGCUUUCGCCUGUAACGAAGAGUGAGUGACGGUAACGGGUCAGGAAGCACCGGCUAACUACGUG